Molecule: unclassified non-coding RNA, 955 nt
Filed under: Hevea brasiliensis (rubber tree)
Lineage: Eukaryota; Viridiplantae; Streptophyta; Magnoliopsida; Malpighiales; Euphorbiaceae
Source: RNAcentral
AACAAAAAAAAAAAAAAAGAGACAUCUACAUUAUUGUACUUCUAUAUCAAAUAGGUUGGUCCCUUCUAGCGAUGAGCUUCUGUAGGAUUAAAACCCAAUAAUUUCAUCUUAAUUUCUCAUAUUUCCUUAUCCAAUUUACUAUAUGAAUUGAGGCACAUAAAAUCAUAAAGAGAUAAUCCAAACAAGAAUUUAUCAAUAACCUAAACAUUUCUAAGCUAAUCAAGAAUUGUAAAAGAUGAUGUUUGGAAAAAACAUUUAACAGUUGCCUUCCUAAAUCGAUUUAUUGAAGCAACUAAGGUCAUUUGACCAAAAUAAUCUAAAGCUUAGCGUGUAUUAUCAAUUCUACCCAAUCCUUCUAGUUUUAACAGUAUGUACCUCAACCAAACAUCGGUAACAAUUUUAGCAGUCAGACUCAAAUUGACCAAAAAAAUUAUUUCAGUAUUAAAUCAAAUAAAAUAGUAUUAUAUUCAUUAUUUUACGUAUUUUUCUUUUCUCCUCUCACCCCUAGAAAUCUAAACCUUACAUUGCCACUCUUCAGCAAUCAUUUCAGUAAAGCUAUCAUUGAUGACUGCUUCAUUUGCUGCAAUGAUAUGUCAAUUUCAUUGAACUACUACACUGAUUAUGAUGCUUCUAUGAACGCUAGCGCCUAGCGUUGAUUCCGAUCCAAACCAUAUUAGAUAUGAAACUGAUAGUUACAUGAAUAAAACAGGUAAGCUCAUUCUAAAGCCUUAACCGCUAAUGCUGGAAGAAAGAAAACUAAUAUAAUAGAAGAAAUCCAAAAUACACUGCAAAACUAUAGCUAAAGAUAAAGCAAGGAAGAGAUUUGAAAAAGGAUAAUUAAUCAUACAGCACUUGCGGAAUAUAUAAUUAACACUUAUUUCAAUUUUGCAGCAUCUAAAAGAUAGGAAAACCAUUGAUUCACAGGUAAGUGUGCAAGAAAAUCAUUUGAUCAAAG